UACAGAGGUCUCAAGCGUUGUUCGGAUUUAUUGGGCGUAAAGGGUGCGUAGGCGGCGCGGUAAGUCGGGUGUGAAAUCUCGGAGCUUAACUCCGAAACUGCAUUCGAUACUGCCGUGCUUGAGGACUGGAGAGGAGACUGGAAUUUACGGUGUAGCGGUGAAAUGCGUAGAUAUCGUAAGGAAGACCAGUGGCGAAGGCGGGUCUCUGGACAGUUCCUGACGCUGAGGCACGAAGGCCAGGGGAGCAAACGGG
Molecule: ribosomal RNA, 253 nt
Filed under: uncultured bacterium
Lineage: Bacteria
Description: partial 16S ribosomal RNA
Rfam family: Bacterial small subunit ribosomal RNA
Source: RNAcentral